Molecule: unclassified non-coding RNA, 213 nt
Filed under: plant metagenome
Description: partial contains small subunit ribosomal RNA, internal transcribed spacer 1, and 5.8S ribosomal RNA
Source: RNAcentral
GUUCCGUAGGUGAACCUGCGGAAGGAUCAUUCAUAUUAAAUGUAGUAUGGAACUUUGUUAAAUCCAUAUCAACCUUGUGAGCAAGGUCUGCGUUGACUUUUCUCUCUGGAGGAUCAGUGUGAAACAUCAACUAUAUCUCAACUUGUUGUCUGAAUAAUAUUAUGAAUGAAACAAUUCAAAAUACAACUUUCAACAACGGAUCUCUUGGCUCUC